Non-coding RNA from Rattus rattus (black rat), 378 nucleotides. Lineage: Eukaryota; Metazoa; Chordata; Mammalia; Rodentia; Muridae. The record is from the annotation of a RefSeq genome assembly.
CUCACCAUGGGAUGGAUCUGUGUCAUCUUUCUUGUGGCAACAGCUACAGGUGUCCACUCACAGGUCAAGCUGCUGCAGUCUGGGGCUGCACUGGUGAAGCCUGGGGCCUCUGUGAAGUUGUCUUGCAAAGCUUCUGGUUAUACAUUCACUGCCUACUAUAUACACUGGGUGAAGCAGAGUCAUGAAAAGAGCUUUGAAUGGAUUGGGGAAAUUAAUCCUUACAGUGGUUUUACUAACUACAAUGAAAAGUUCAAGAGCAAGGCCACAUUGACUGUAGACAAAUCCACCAGCACAGCCUAUAUGGAACUUAGCAGAUUGACCUCUGAGGACUCUGCAAUCUAUUACUGCACAAGACACAGUGUGAAAACCACAUCCUGA